Molecule: long non-coding RNA, 136 nt
Organism: Stylophora pistillata
Lineage: Eukaryota; Metazoa; Cnidaria; Anthozoa; Scleractinia; Pocilloporidae
Source: RefSeq, a predicted model, not a curated record
AGAAACGUCAGAGCUUCAAAAGAAUGUGCAAGAACUGAAAAGAAACGUCUCGGCUUUAAGAGAUAAUUCGGUUUCAGGAGAUAUAAAGGAACUGGAGGAAAACGUCUCAGCAGAUUUAAAGAAACUAGAGACGAAG